This is a long non-coding RNA of Macadamia integrifolia, 862 nucleotides long. RefSeq lists it as uncharacterized. The record is from RefSeq and is a predicted model, not a curated record. The transcript has 2 exons. Lineage: Eukaryota; Viridiplantae; Streptophyta; Magnoliopsida; Proteales; Proteaceae.
GAUUCGGCUACAAUUUCGCUGGAGUUUAGCAAUGGGGCUGCGGCUUUCGAAACUAAACGAAGGUUCGGUUAGCUUUUUUGGCUACUUUGGUCCCAGCUUCCACCUUCGCAGUUCGCCAUUGUAGUAUUCUACAUUAAUUGGUUUUUUUCUUCUACAAGAGAUGCCAUUAAAGCAAGCUCUGCUCAAAAGUCUCUCUCCAGUUGCAGAAGAGGUGAAAUUGCUUUUGCAGUUUUUAGCUCUUUAUUUUAAUUUCAAAGAUUUUCAGCCAAUAAUCAAAGCAGUAAAGUUCAUAAAUUUGGAAAAAUAAUCAAACCAGCAUAGCUACUCAGGUUUUAUUUUGCAGGUUCUACAUUGGAUGCUCAAGUAAACAGAAAACUACAGAAUUAUGCUUUACUUUGAAAUAUGAUUUUCACAACCUUCUUCAAUAGUUUAUUUGUAUUCUUCUUUGGUUUGAUUUCUUCCUUCUCCUCUGUAUUGCUUACUUCCUCAUAGUUCUUCUCUGGUUUGAUUUCUUUCUUGUCCUCUCUAUUGCUUUCUUCCAUACAAAAACGGUAACUUCUGAGGUAUCUCUGCCUGCAAAUAAAGCGAUCAUGGCAGACAUCUACAUUCAAGCUUUUGAAAACCAAGAAUGCUGCAUCAGCCUGUGGCCAUGGAUAUAGAUUCUUGAAACUUACUGUAAGAUGGACUGGGGUAUCAGAAUCCCAUUCAGUUAAACUGGAUUUAGUCAUCUUUCUUCGAUGAUGAUCUUCUUCUCCCUUUGAACUCUGUGUGUCUUUGAUCAUAAGCAUGUCUUUAUGUAUCAUUAAGAACCCACAACUAAAAUAGAAUUGGAAAUGGAUUAGGAAUAAGUCUUCAAAUCCUA